Molecule: long non-coding RNA, 1364 nt
Filed under: Equus caballus (horse)
Lineage: Eukaryota; Metazoa; Chordata; Mammalia; Perissodactyla; Equidae
Description: lncRNA (ENSECAG00000049089.1)
Source: RNAcentral
AUAUUUUCUGUUUGUGCUGAUCAUUCCAUUGAUCGUUUCAACUGUCAGUCCUCGAGGAAGGCAAAACAGGCUCCAUUUCUACAUGGUCGGAGUCUUCCACAUCAGCCGAACUGGUUUCUCUUAAAUCAAGUUUCACAUAGCUUUCUGAAGUCGUGUCGAUCGUUUCUUAAACCAACUUUCACAUCUGUUUCUUAAAUCAAGCUUCACAGAGUUUUCUGAAGUCCUGUCGAUCGUUUCCUAAAUCAGGUUUCACUUCUGUUUCUUAAAUCAAGUUUCACUUCUGUUUCUUAAAUCAAGUUUCACUUCUGUUUCUUAAAUCAAGUUUCACAUCUUUUUCAUAAGUCCUGCCAAUCGUUUCGUAAAUCAAGUUUCACUUAGUUUUCUUAAGUCGUGUUGAUUGUUUCUUAAAUCAAGUUUCACUUCUGUUUCUUUUUUUUUUUUUUUUUAAAGAUUUUAUUUUUUUCUUUUUCUCCCCAAAGCCCCCCGGUACAUAGUUGUGUAUUCUUCGUUGUGGGUUCCUCCAGCUGCGGCAUGCGGGACGCCGCCUCAGCGUGGUCCGAUGAGCAGUGCCAUGUCCGCGCCCAGGAUUCGAACCGAGGAAACACUGGGCCGCCUGCAGCGCAGCGCGCGAACGUGACCGCUCGGCCACGGGGCCAGCCCCUCACUUCUGUUUCUUAAAUCAAGUUUCACACAGUUUUCAUAAGUCCUGCCAAUCGUUUCCUAAAUCAAGUUUCACUUAGUUUUCUUAAGUCGUGUUGAUUGUUUCUUAAAUCAAGUUUCACUUCUGUUUCUUAAAUCAAGUUUCACAUAGUUUUCAUAAGUCCUGCCAAUCGUUUCUUAAAUCAAGUUUCACUUAGUUUUCUUAAGUCGUGCUGAUCGUUUCUUAAAUCGUUUCACAUCUGUUUCUUAAAUCAAGUUAAAUCCAAACUCAAAUGCCUGUCCUGCCAACUUAUAAAAGACCUGUGCAUUCUCUCUGAAGUCCCCAGGGCACACACUGCCCACAUCUAAUUGGGCAGGAAGUUCAGUCAUUGCCAGGGUUCCUCCCCGACAGGACCACCUGCAGACACAAGGGUGGCUCCCAGUUGGCCCUGCAUCUCUCUUUCCUGCACCUGUUGCCACCUCCCGGCAGAGGAUCCAUCCUCAGGACCCUGGAGCCGCAGAGCAGGGCCCCUUAGCUGACAAGGAAGGCAGAAGUCGGCCUACACAUUGAUGGGGAAACGGGAGCACUGAGCAUUCUGAAGACCUAGGGGUUCAGGGGAAGUUGGGCCGUCCAGCACUGCUACCCCAGUGGGAUGGGGUCAGAGAAGUGAUGGAGGACUCGGUCAGGGAAUAGAACUGAGAGGCCUCAGCCUGAAGCACUGAAU